This 69-nucleotide transfer RNA is filed under the name Marmota monax (woodchuck). RNAcentral describes it as "tRNA.Thr". The record is from RNAcentral. Lineage: Eukaryota; Metazoa; Chordata; Mammalia; Rodentia; Sciuridae.
GGUUGUAGAUCAGAGGUAGAGCACUCCCCUUGUAUGCGUGAGGCACUGGGUUCGAUUCUCAGCAAUACA